GACGAACGCUGGCGGCGUGCCUAAUACAUGCCAGUAGAACGCUGAAGGAGGAGCUUGCUCUUCUGGAUGAGUUGCGAACGGGUGAGUAACGCGUAGGUAACCUGCCUGGUAGCGGGGGAUAACUAUUGGAAACGAUAGCUAAUACCGCAUAACAGUAGAUGUUGCAUGACAUUUACUUAAAAGUUGCAAUUGCAUCACUACCAGAUGGACCUGCGUUGUAUUAGCUAGUUGGUGGGGUAACGGCUCACCAAGGCGACGAUACAUAGCCGACCUGAGAGGGUGAUCGGCCACACUGGGACUGAGACACGGCCCAGACUCCUACGGGAGGCAGCAGUAGGGAAUCUUCGGCAAUGGACGGAAGUCUGACCGAGCAACGCCGCGUGAGUGAAGAAGGUUUUCGGAUCGUAAAGCUCUGUUGUAAGAGAAGAACGAGUGUGAGAGUGGAAAGUUCACACUGUGACGGUAUCUUACCAGAAAGGGACGGCUAACUACGUG
This 495-nucleotide ribosomal RNA is filed under the name uncultured bacterium. Its description in RNAcentral is "partial 16S ribosomal RNA". It matches the Rfam family "Bacterial small subunit ribosomal RNA", at positions 28 to 507 of the family's 1533-position model. The record is from RNAcentral.